RNAcentral lists this long non-coding RNA (850 nucleotides) under Sarcophilus harrisii (Tasmanian devil). RNAcentral's name for it is "lncRNA (ENSSHAG00000028864.1)". The record is from RNAcentral. Lineage: Eukaryota; Metazoa; Chordata; Mammalia; Dasyuromorphia; Dasyuridae.
GAGACAGUAACCACUGGAAUAACAAAGAGUAAGAGAAAGAGGGAAUAAGCAUUUAUUAAGCACCUACUACAUACCAAACAAUGCACUUUACAAUUAUUAUCUCAUUUUACCAUCACAACAUCUCUGGAAGGUAGGUGUUAUUAUUAUUAUCACCAUUUAAUAUUUGAAGAAACCAAGGCAUACAGAAGUUAAGCAACUUGCCAAGACUCAUACAGCUAGUAAAUGUUGGAGGCCAGAUUUGAAGUUGGGAGUUCCUGACUUUUUCUACUGUGCUACUAACCAUUAAAUUCAGUCUGCCUGUAGAGCAGACAACCUUUAAGAAAAACCACCAGAAAUACAUUGAAUUCCUCUACCAUUCCAAAACAGUGGACCUGGACCCACUCAGAGAUUUUUACUGAAUAUUUAGAAUACUCAGUACCGUAUGAUAUCACAGCAGCUUUGGGACUCAGAGUUCAGUAUCUUCUGCCCCUCUGACUGGAGAGUGAGAAUAUAGAACAAAGAACUCAUAAAACUUCCAUAUAAAGAGACUCCUAGACUUCUCACCAUCUGCACUCCUUGGACUGGACUCUACAUGAUUCUUGUCAGGUUUCUCACCAUUUUCUCUGAUGCCAUUGGCAGAUCAAGUGCCUCCCAUUGCUUGCCACGAUUACUGAAACAUUGAGUCAAAAGAAGACUUUACUUCCUCAUUUGGUCACUUUGUUCAACCACAGCAAAUACUGAAUAAGUCAUUCCAUUCCUAGUGUCACUGUAUCUUCCUUCCUUAUUAGUGCUGAGCAUGGAAAUGUGGGUAUCUACUCAGAGAAACUUGUGGUAACAUUGCUGUUCUUGGUCAUGACAGCAGCAGAGUGCA